Molecule: long non-coding RNA, 6930 nt
Filed under: Phaseolus vulgaris (common bean)
Lineage: Eukaryota; Viridiplantae; Streptophyta; Magnoliopsida; Fabales; Fabaceae
Description: long non-coding RNA (PVUL_LNC003703)
Source: RNAcentral
CAAAUUAUUCUUUCUGGGUAUGCUGAGUCCAAAUAUCUCUUGCAUGUCUAACUCAUCACAAGACAUGCCCAAUGGAAGCAUCCAAUCAAAACAAUGCACCAAUUGUGCCAAAACAAGACUAACCGUUGUUAAACCCAAAUGAAUCCCGGGGCACCCUCUUCGACUCGACCCAAAUGGUAAAAUUCGAAAGUCCUUUCCACGAAUGUCUACAUUGUUAUUCUCAAACCUUGUAGGAUCGAAAAUCUCGGCAUUGUCCCAAACAUUAGGAUCUCGCCCUAUAGCCCAUGCAUUUACUAUAAUCCUUGAUUUUUUCUUUAUAAAAUAACCAUCAAUGAUAACAUCUUCUUUGCACUCACGAGGUACUACCAAAGGUACAACCGGGUGCAACCUUAGUGUUUCCUUCACCACCAUAUUCAAAAAAGAUAACUUGUCUAAGUCACUUUCCUCCCCGUAUUUGUUCAUUCCAACCACAUGUUUUAGCUCGUGUUGAAGUCUCUUCAUCACACUUGGGUGCCUCAAGAGUUCUGACAUGGCCCAUUCUAAUGUUGUGGAAGAUGUUUCUAAUGCUCCACCGAUCAUGUCUAAUAUGAUAGCUUUGAUGUUUGUCCUAUCAAUAACGUUUUGGUUGUUGUGAACAUCAUUUGGUUGGUGCAUGAGUGAGAGCAAAACCUCCACAAAGUCCAUGUUGCCUUUUUUUAUCUUUGUCAUUUGAAUUACUCUCUUUGUCUUGGAUUAUUUGCUCAAAGCCUUUGUCAAGUGACUUGCUUGCUUUCUUUAAUCUUGUUGUUAUUCCCUAAGCAAUAGUUGCAUGAAUAAAUACCAAAAAAGUAACAAAACAUAAUUAUACAUAUUCUUUCAUAUAGACAUAGAUAUGCCAACAAACAUUUCAAUUUAUUUAUCUAUGGAGUUACAUGUAAAACCCUAAAUUUCAUUCCAUGAUAAAAAUAUGUGAAAAGUUAGAUAAACACUAAUUUUAGUAAAUUUAUCCUUAUACAAAUCUUUGCUGGUCCAACUGCAUUAAUUGGCAUCAAAAUUUCUGAAACCAAACAAUAAUUUGAAUAUUAGUUAAAGAGAGAAAAAAAAAUUGGGGUUAGAUUUUGAGUUGGCUCGGGUCAGGUCAAGCUAAGUCGGCCCAAACCAAGGUCCACCCGAAUCAACCCAAGUCUAGAUCGAGUCAAAUCAGUCCAGUCGAGGUCGAGCAAAGAUGACACGAGACUAAGUCCAGCCAAAAUGAUCAGAGCUCUAGUUGGGUUGAGUCGACUUGGGCCUGGAUAGAACUCAAGUUGAGCUAAGUCGACUCGAGUCCAGAUCCACACAAGUUGAUUCAAGCCCAUGUCAAGCCGAGUAGAACAAGGCCCAUGUCGAACCAAGUCAACCCGGGCCCAUGUCGAGCUGAGUUGACCAGGACCACGUCGAGCCGAGUCGAACCGAGCCCAUGUUGACUCGAGUCGACCUGGGCCUAUGUUGAACCGAGUGUGCCUAAUCCCAUGUCGAGUCAGUUCGGGUCCAUAUCAAGUCGAGUCAGCCCCGACCCAUGUCGAGUAGAGUCGACCCGAGCCCGUGUCGAGCUGAGUCAACUCGGGUUCAUGUCGAGCCGAGUUAACCUGAACCCAUGUUGAGCCGAGUCGAUCCGAUCUCAUUUCGAGUCGAUUCGAUCCUGACUCUUUUCGAGCCGAGUCGAUUCGAGCCCAUGUUGAGUCAAGCCGAGUCGAUCCGAGGACAGUGAAUUUUGUGUUGCUUCCAGACCUAUUUUCGCUAAAGUAAAACAAGUUGAAAUGAACAUUUUUCUCAACUGUACCCAUAAAGAUUAAUGACUAAAUCAUAGAGAAAAACAAAGAAUAAGAGAUCUUUAGGGUAAAAAUGAACUUACUCUGUUUGAAAAAUAGGAUAAAAAUGUAUCCUAACUCCUCAGCAUGGCGUGAUCAAAUUUUAGAAUAAAUAAGGUACGAGAGAAAAAUUAAAAGAGAAAAAAGAAAAGAGAGAGAAACCAUACAUUUUUUUUCCAUGUGUUUACAUCAUAUAAUUCCUUAUUACAUAUAUUAAAAACAAUUACACUAAAUUAUUAUUUUAUUUUAAUCACGUAUAUUACACGUUAAUACACUUUUUCAUAUACAUUUAUAUAGAAAAUAUAAUAAUUCCAAUAUCAUAUAAAAUCUAUCCUUAGGACACAUCCCAGCCAUUAUGGUUUCCAUCAAGUUAAGACCCUUAACAUUGUCUUUUGCCAGACCCAAAAUUCAAAAAUCAGAAUAUGCAUAUCGUGUUUCCUGAGUAUGUACCCUAUACUAUUUUAUAUGUAAUCUUUUUGUUCUUGUGUGGAUUGGAAAUGCCCUCUCUCAUGCUCUAGUAGGCCUUGGACUCAUAAAAUUAAAGAAAUUUUAAUUUUUGGAUUUUUAUAAAAAUAUAAAAAUAUAUAUAUAAAAGAUUAUUUUCAAAUUAGUAUUUUAAUAUUUGAUACUUAAAAUUAUUAAAUGUCAAUUUAGUUAUUUCAUUCCACCUGUUUAUAGAAUCAUAUAGGUCUUUGAAAUGAAGACUUAGAUUAAUACAUAUAAAUUGAGUUAAUCUCGUAUUAGUUAAACCUUUCAUACCUUCAUUAUUAGUUAAUUAUUAGUUAAACCUUUCGUACCUUAAUUAUUAGUUAAUUAUUAGUUAAACCUUCCGUACCUGAUUAUAUUAAUUUAACUUUUUUAGGAGUAUGUUGAGGCAGGUUCCCAUGAUAUGCUCGACUAUAAUUACUGAAUAAUUCUCAAUCGUUGGUUCCAUGGACGUGUUGAUAAUGGAUAAUUUAUGAUGCCUGCACACUACUCUAAAAUGGUGUGUCGGUGUCCGAUACUCGUAUGAUACCGGUAGGAUAUGUAUUUGUGAAGUGUCCAAUUCAAAAAGUAUUUGUUAGAUUUCUAAUAAUUCUAGUACGGUUCUAACACAAUUCUAAAAAGAAAAAUACAUUAAUUUUUUAAAAAAUCAAAUUUUAUUGUAUAAAUUAUUAUUAUGAUUAUAAAAAUAAAAAUAAAAAUCCUUGUAAAUCAAUCAUAAAAAACAUCUUUCUGCUCCAAAAAAUAAUUUGGAACAUACUUGUGCACAUAAAUCUUUAUUGUCAAUUUAUAUAAUUCAUAAUUAUAUAAUAUAUAAAUUCGUGUCCCCGUGUCCUACAUUUUAGAGAUUUUACGUAUCUCCGUGUUUGUGUCCGUAUCGUAUCAGUGUUCGUGUCAAUAUCAGUGCUACAUAGUGUACAACACACUUUUUAAUACUUACAAUUUUAUAAAUAAUGAUAAUUAACAAUGACAAAAUAUAUUACUGAACUAGAUACACUUGAGAUUAUAUAUAAUAUUUUAAUAAUUUGUUUACUUAUCAAAUGUGAUAAAUGUUAGAAAAGAUGGUUUUAAACUAGAGGGGGGUGAAUUGUUUAAAGGGGUUUUCGCAAACUUUUCAAAGCUAGAAUGAACUUAUUUCAGAAACCAAUUGAUUCAGCAAUUCAGUUAGCCAAAACAGCAAGCAAAACUGUAAUACCAGAAAAAACAAUCGGUUGUUUCUUCGAAACAAUCGGUUGUUUAUACCAGCAAACAACAAACAAACUGAAAUUAAAGAGUUAGGGAUAGAAAGAUUGUACACAGUUGUUUAUACCGGUUCACUCCAAACUAGAGCUACAUCCAGUCUUCUCAGAAACCCUGAGGAUAUCCACUAAGCAACCACACCUUGAUCACUUACACCACAACCAAGAGAAUGACCUUGAACACCUCAAGAAACACACUCUCCUUGGCCAACACUAAGAUUGCUGAUCUUGAACACCUCAAGAACACACAGCCAAUCUCAGCACAACACACACACGAAUUGUUCAGCAGAUUACAAAGAUUACACUUGUUACAUAUGGAAAUCUGAAAUCAAUACAAGUAGAAUCCUAUUCAACACCUUGAUCAAUCUCUCAACUCUUUAGCAAUCUCAGAACUCUUUUGAAAAACUCUUAGAUGAAAAACUUUGUUUCAAGAUUCUUAAUACAUCAAAACAGUUUUUCAGAAUAUAUCUAAGAAUAUAGUUUGUUAUCAAAUCUUAACAAACUCUUAAUUGCAUUUAAAAUAGAUUGGUCAAAGCAUUUAAUGACUGGAGCGUAUUCAGUUAAAGCAUUUAAAGCUCAGUCAAAGAAAACAGUUUUUCUAUUAUGGUUUUAAAACAAACAAUCGAUUGUUUCCUCGAAUCAAUCGGUUGUUUUGUUACUUAACAAAAUACAUCAUUCAAAAACAGUUUUCAAACUUUCUCAAAACACCUAAGUGUAAACAAUCGAUUGUUUCGACACAACAAUCGGUUGUUUCAACUUAGUUUUUAAAACAUUUUGCUUUGUUAAAAUUGAGAUGCUAAUUGCUUUGAGAUUUAAUCUAAGGAUUGAUUACAACAUUAAACUACCCCAGAACAAGGCUUAAACCAGCACAGCAGCAUCAAGCAAAGCAGAGGCUUCAUCAUCCUUCAAAGGAUUUGGAUUCUUCAAAACAUUGAACACCACUUGGUUCAACAAUAAAUAUAUUAUAAAAGAUGAAAAGGUGUAAACAACUAAAAAUUGCAUAAAUGUCAUACCUAAUAUUAUUUUUGAGUUUAACUAACCCAAAAAAGUCAGAAAACAAAGUUUACAGUGUAGACAAAUACUUUCAUAUUUUUAUUGAUGUAGUUUUCGUGUAUUAAAAAACAAAAGUCUCCCACUUCAAAGAAUUUAUAUAUUACCAACAUUUUUUUCCAUUAUUAGAUCUUAACUUUAGUUUGUGAUACUAAAAUAUUUGCUACUCUUUUCUAUUGCGAGAGGUCAUUUGUAGUUAGUGGCUUGUAAGAACAUCUAUCAGUUUUAUUAAUAUUAUCACAGAAAAUUCCUUAUUUUUUUUCAUGAGAGAAAAUUUUCUAUUCAAUCUUUGUUAGAAGAUAAAUUAAAAUUUUCUCUACUAUUUUGAUAUUCAAGUCUUACAUGGUGAAUGAACUCUUUCAUAUAUUCAUUGUCCUUCAUUCUAACAAUUUCAAAUUCUCUUAUCAAAUUUUGAACAUACAUCUUCUUGGAUGUAUCACUUUUUUGAAACUCCUCCUGCAACUGAACCCAAGUUUCCUAGACGAUUUAUAGAGUAACGAUUUUAAUAAAAACAUUACCCUACUAAAUUGUUUAUUUUAUGAGAAGUGUAUUUUUUUUCCUUUCUCAUUUCAUCAUUAUGAUUUUAAAUCUGAGUAAAGUCAUUUCUAAAUGAACUAUAAUACCAUGAAAGAGAAAUAGAAUAUGCUUGAAUUGCACAAGUUCAUGAGGAAACCAAACUUAAGAAUCAAGGUACCAUUUUAUUCAUUAUGUGAAUAGUUAAGAGCUGGAUAUAAAGUUGAUAAACAACAUGAAAAUGGCAAAUAACCAUUAAAGAUUAGUGUGUUCUCUGCUAUGUGGGAAGUUUGGACAUUUGCAAAAGAAUUGCCCCAAACGUAAAGCUUGGUUUAAAAUAAAGGUGAGCAUAAUGCUUAUGUAUGUUUUGAAUCAAACUUAACUGAAGUUCGCUAUAAAAUUUGGUGGAUUUAUUAUGGAUGUACAACUGAUGUUUCUAAUAUGAUGUAUGAAUUCCUUUUAAUCCAAACCAUAAACACAAAUGAGAAAUUUGUCUUCAUGGAAAUAGAGUGAAGGUUGCAUGUAAAGCUAUAGGACUUAUCGUUUAAUCAUUAACACUGGAUUUUAUUUAUAUUUGUUUGAUAUUUUUUAUGUACCUAACAUUUCUAGGAAUUUAGUUCUUUGUCUAAACUUGAUGUUGUUGGAUACUCUUAUAGGUUUCAUGUUAUGGAUAUGUCUAUUUACUACAUGAGAAAUCUCAAGCAGUGAAUGUCCUAGAAAUUUAUAUAAAUGAAGUGGAAAGACAAUUAGGCAGAAAUGUGAAAAUUGUCAGGUUGGAUACAGAUGGUGAAUAUUGUGGAAAAUAUGAUGAAAGUCAGACCCUAUAUGAUCCGAUGUAAAACACUUCAAAAAAUUUACCUGGCUUUUUUAAUGUCGUGGUUAGGGAGGUCAUACAUAAAUGGUCGAGGUCACUAGGAAUAAUAAAAUGUGUUACUCAAUUAAAUAAAUAAAUAAUGUAUUAUUGGAAUAAUUACUUAUUUUUCUAUGUUUUAAAAAAAUAAAUUUCAUUUUGACAAGCAUGAUAUUUAUUCUUUUAUAAUGAUUAUAUGAAUUUUUCGAGUUACACGAGAUAUUCUAAAUCUAUUUAUUUUGACUAUUCUACUAAAUGAGAUAAUUUUUUCAUUUUUCUUAUAGUUUUUUCUUUUUUUUUUUCCUCCAUUUGUGUGAAAAAAAAAUAGUAUGCGAAUGGAAUCAAGAUAUUUCAACGUCAGAAUCUUAAACUGAAAAUAGUCUUUAUUAUUAAAUUAUAGAAUUAGUUCUCAUUUUAACAACCAUUCAUUGGUGGUGGUAUAAGAAAAAAGCUUAAUAAAAGACAAUCAUGUGUACUCCUCAGUCACUCAAAAUAAAAUGCAAUGAUAACAAUGCAAAAUAUGGGUACCACAAUUGCAAAAUCAAAGAAUCUCCCACUUGUCAUAGUUUAUGACACACACAAAAAUAGUUAUACUCAAACCAUUAAAUUGAUAAAAACACUUGAUCGCUUAUUCAAAUUAUUUGAACACAUGAUUAAAUGUGUCACAUGUCUCAAACUAGAAUUAAAAUCAACCACAAACUUUGCAUUAUUAUCCUCUCUUUUAACCUAACUAGCUAGUCGGUAAACUGGUCUAGUUAACAAAUGAUUCUUUCUUGGUAUGCUAAGUCCAAAUAUCUCUUGCAUGUCUAAUUCAUGAGAAGACAUGCCUAAUGGAAGCACCCAAUCAAAACAAUGCACCAAUUGAGCCAAAACAAGGCUAAGCGUGGUUAAACCCAAAUGAAUCCCGGGACACCCUCUUCGACCAGACCCAAAUGGUAAAAUGCGAAAGUCCUUUCCACGAAUAUCUAUG